This 71-nucleotide transfer RNA is filed under the name Grimontia sp. AD028. RNAcentral's name for it is "tRNA-OTHER". It matches the Rfam family "tRNA". From Rfam's summary of the family: Transfer RNA (tRNA) molecules are approximately 80 nucleotides in length. Their secondary structure includes four short double-helical elements and three loops (D, anti-codon, and T loops). Further hydrogen bonds mediate the characteristic L-shaped molecular structure. tRNAs have two regions of fundamental functional importance: the anti-codon, which is responsible for specific mRNA codon recognition, and the 3' end, to which the tRNAs corresponding amino acid is attached (by aminoacyl-tRNA synthetases). tRNAs cope with the degeneracy of the genetic code in two manners: having more than one tRNA (with a specific anti-codon) for a particular amino acid; and 'wobble' base-pairing, i.e. permitting non-standard base-pairing at the 3rd anti-codon position. Lineage: Bacteria; Pseudomonadati; Pseudomonadota; Gammaproteobacteria; Vibrionales; Vibrionaceae. The record is from RNAcentral.
UAACUGAUAGUUCAAUUGGUAGAACGGCGAAGUUAAUUCGUAUGUCGUGGGUUCGAGUCCCACUCAGAUAA